Molecule: transfer RNA, 66 nt
Filed under: marine eukaryotic metagenome
Rfam family: tRNA
About the family: Transfer RNA (tRNA) molecules are approximately 80 nucleotides in length. Their secondary structure includes four short double-helical elements and three loops (D, anti-codon, and T loops). Further hydrogen bonds mediate the characteristic L-shaped molecular structure. tRNAs have two regions of fundamental functional importance: the anti-codon, which is responsible for specific mRNA codon recognition, and the 3' end, to which the tRNAs corresponding amino acid is attached (by aminoacyl-tRNA synthetases). tRNAs cope with the degeneracy of the genetic code in two manners: having more than one tRNA (with a specific anti-codon) for a particular amino acid; and 'wobble' base-pairing, i.e. permitting non-standard base-pairing at the 3rd anti-codon position.
Source: RNAcentral
CCGUAGCUCAGCCGGAUCAGAGCGGCGGCCUUCUAAGCCGUAGGUCGGAGGUUCGAGUCCUCCCGG